This 2908-nucleotide long non-coding RNA is filed under the name Salvia miltiorrhiza (redroot sage). RNAcentral describes it as "long non-coding RNA (SMIL_LNC000134)". Lineage: Eukaryota; Viridiplantae; Streptophyta; Magnoliopsida; Lamiales; Lamiaceae. The record is from RNAcentral.
GAGAAUCUGUGACCUUUUUCAUGCGCGUGGUCCGCAGUCGCUCCACCACCACCACCUAUAAAUAGGCAGCUCCUCCGCAGAGAAUGAAAAUAUAGCAAUCAAAACUUAAUCCAUACACAUAUAUACCUCCGAGUUUCGUCUUCAACCUCAGCAUCAUCAUGUCUGACAAGUGCGGAAGCUGCGACUGCGCUGACAAAUCCCAGUGCGGGUAAUAAUCCUUUUUCUUUUUCUUCAACAUCAUUUUGAUCUUGUUUAGAAGAAAAAGAAUCUUAUGUAUCUGUCUGGAAUAGGUUGUGAGUUUGACUGCUUAUGUUAUGUUAUGUUGCAGGAAGAACGGCUACACAGCCGACAUCAUUGAGACCGACAAGAGGUAUAUACAUAGUUGAUCAACACAUAAACAAAAACAUAUUGAAUUAAAUGGAAUAUAUAUUUUGCAGCAACAGCAACAGCAUGGUGAUGGAUGCUCCGGCUGCCGCUGAGAACGACGGCAAAUGCAAGUGCGGCAGCAGCUGCAGCUGCACCGACUGCACNCCUAAAAAAAAACGAAAAGAAAAAAACUAAGGGCCGAGCCUUAAAACCUAAAAAAAACGAAAAGAAGGAGGAGAGAGAAGGAGGGGUAAGUUUUCGGAACUCCGGCCUAACCAUCGUCCCAAAACCAACCCGGCUUUCAGCCCGCAAAAAAGACAGAACAGGGGUAAGUUUCAUUAAUAAUUAAUGACUUAAUUCAAAAAAGAAAACCAUUUUUUCUCACAAGUUUCAUACUAACUAAUACAAAACAAGUUAAAAUUCUUGAACCUUAUAUACUAAAAUAGUACUUCAUAUAAUCUAUAGAAGAAGUCCACUUCAAAUCUCAAAGAUUCAAUUCAAAGGUAACAUACAAGUAUUUGAGAGUGUGCUCAUUUUAUAGGCACGAGUAAUACUCCCUACGUCCCUGAAAUAAGUUCAUCUUUUUCCAUUUUGGGACGUCCCCCAAAUAAGUUUCUCUUUCUUUCUUUCGAUUUUUGGACAACUACCUCACCACUAAUAAUACUUUAUUCAUUCUUACUUUUCACUUUUUCACCACUCCCAAUACUAGUAUAACAUUUUUUCACAUUUUCACCACUCCCAAUACUAAUUAUAACAUAUUUUUUUCCACUAUCAAUACACUUUACCAUUUUCCUUAAAACUCGUGCCGUCCCCAAAGAGGAACUUAUUUUGGGGACGGAGGGAGUAUAUUUUAUAAUUAAUGAUAUUAUUAAAAUAUUCAUUAGUCUUACUAGUUUCGAUGUCAUUUAUCAAAAUAUAAUGAUUUCACUGUCAGAAUUUCGCUCAUACAUAAUACUUCCUUCGUUCGCCAAAAGUGGAUCACUUUGAUUGGACACGAGAUUUAAUAAAAUUGGUGAUAAUUUUGAUGUAGUGGAGAAAGGAUCCCACCACAUUAUGAGAUGUGUGGUUGAGAUUGAAUUUGAGUUGAUUUUUUUGUAAAUAAAGAGUGUUUGUAAGGAUAAAAGAUUAAAGUAGAUGAUGAGACCAUUUCUAUAAAAGGAACGUGGUAUACUCUUUGCGGACACCCGAUAUAGUAAAAGUGAUCCACUUUUGACGGACGGGGGGAGUAGAAUUUUACGGUAUCUAUGCCCCAAAAAAUCAUAUACCAUACACUCAUACGUAACACUAAUAUCGUUAUCUAAAGUAUUAUACAUAACAACUGUAAAGCUGUUAUCUAUAGUUCUUAUAAAUAAUAGUUGUGUCCGUUAUCAUAGAAAUAUACCGAAUCGUUAUGCAUGUAUUUUAAUUUUUUUUAUAUUUUAUUAUAUUUGACAAAUAUUUUUUCAAUACAUAACUAUCGUCGAUCUUUACCGUUAUGUAAAACGAGACUAUCAUAAAUCUAUUUUUCCUCUCAAAUUUUUUUUUUUUUUUUUUUUUUUCAUCGAGUAAAGGAAGAAGAAUUGGGAUCGAACCUGAUCUCUCUCCUUUGCAUACAAAAUAAUCCAUAAAUUGUGAUGUCAUUGAAAUUAUUAUACACAUUAUAAGUAAAAUGAAUUGAAACAUAUCCACCGAAACUGGCGCAUGUAUAUAUAUUCCAAUAACAAAAGUAAAACACAAUAUACUAACUCGUUUACAAGUAAAGGCAAGUAAUAUCAUGUUGAAAUUUCCGAAAAUGAAAAACGGAAAAGACGAGACGAUAAAGGAGAAUCUGUGACCUUUUCCAUGCGCGUGGUCCGCAGUCGCUCCACCACCACCACCUAUAAAUAGGCAGCUCCUCCGCAGAGAAUGAAAAUAUAGCAAUCAAAACUUAAUCCAUACACACAUAUAUCUUAACUUCGUCUUCAACCUCAGCAUCAUCAUGUCUGACAAGUGCGGAAGCUGCGACUGCGCUGACAAAUCCCAGUGCGGGUAAUAAUCCUUUUCUUUUUCUUCAACAUCAUUUUGAUCUUGUUUAGAAGAAAAAGAAUCUUAUGUAUCUGUCUGAAAUAGGUUGUGAGUUUGAUUGCUUAUGUUAUGUUAUGCAUGUUGCAGGAAGAACGGCUACACAGCCGACAUCAUUGAGACCGACAAGAGGUAUAUACAUAGUUGAUCAACACAUAAACAAAAACAUAUUGAAUUAAAUGGAAUAUAUAUUUUGCANCAGCAGCAACAGCAACAGCAUGGUGAUGGAUGCUCCGGCUGCCGCUGAGAACGACGGCAAAUGCAAGUGCGGCAGCAGCUGCAGCUGCACCGACUGCACCUGCGCCCACUGAGAUGGAUAUAUAGCAGAAAAGGGACUGGGGCUGCUGCCCAUAUCUUAAUCUUAUCAUGUAAUCUAAUCUUUCAAUAACUUAGUUCCCACAUGUCCUAAACUAUUACCCUCCCUUUCCCUUUUUUAAUGAAUUCAUAUUAUAUAUAUAUGCUCUCUCUCUCUCUCUCUUAAUCACGAGAACAUGCACUCAAU